UCUCCGUUGGUGAACCAGCGGAGGGAUCAUUACAGGACUCGCAAGGCUCCCGUAACCACUGUGAACUUACCUAUAUUCGUUGCCUCGGCGGGUGCCUUAGACUCAUAUCUAGGGCAUUCAACCCGCCGGUGCCUACAACUCUGUCUCGCGCGUUGGCAUCUCCGAGUCAUUUUAAACGAGUCAAAACUUUCAACAACGGAUCUCUUGGUUCUG
RNAcentral lists this unclassified non-coding RNA (213 nucleotides) under plant metagenome. RNAcentral describes it as "partial contains small subunit ribosomal RNA, internal transcribed spacer 1, and 5.8S ribosomal RNA". The record is from RNAcentral.